This is an RNA transcript of Eucalyptus grandis, 1539 nucleotides long. It is a transcript of the gene named exonuclease 1, with no coding region annotated. NCBI's taxonomy places the organism in Eukaryota, Viridiplantae, Streptophyta, Magnoliopsida, Myrtales, Myrtaceae. The transcript is spliced from 11 exons. The record is from RefSeq and is a predicted model, not a curated record.
CAGCAGGUCCACAAAGCAUAUCUUUUCAAUGUAGGUGGUUGUUUCGAUCGGUCUCAGCAUAUAUAGAGAAAGCGGCACAUCCAGUUCUUCAUGAAAAGAGUAGAAUUGCUCCAGCAAAAUAAAGUUAAACCGUUUAUUGUUUUUGAUGGAUGUGAGCUCCCGAUGAAGAUUGACGAAAAGAGAAAGCAUAAAGAGUCCAGGGACAAAUCUCUUGCUAAGGCUCGUCGGCUUGAGUCAGGAGAUGCUGCUGCUGUUGGGCAUUACAAACAUGCAGUAAACAUCACCCCUUUAAUAGUACACAAGCUAAUCGAGGUCUUGAAGAAGCAGGACAUUUCUUAUGUUGUUGCCCCUUACGAAGCGGAUGCUCAAAUGGCCUUUUUGGCAAUCCAUGGACGGGUAAAUGCUGUACUUACGAGCGAUGCGGAUCUUGUAGCAUUUGGCUGUCCUAGAAUAAUCUUCCGAAUGGAUGAUUCUGGGCGAGGUCAUGAGUUCAAGGACUCCAAGCUACUAGAGCAUCCAAAACUUAAUGGGUUUACUCAGCAAACAUUUCUUGAACUGUGUGUAUUGAGGGGUUGUGACUAUUUGCGGCCACUCAAUAACAUGAAUUGGCACAUCGUGCUAGAGAAGUUCCAAAAGUACGGAACUUAUGAUAAAGUGAUUGAGCACUUGAAAGAAAGUGCUCCAGCUUCAAUAUACACAGGUUAUAAGACGGAAUUCCGAAAGGCGAUGCUCACUUUCAAGCAUCAAAGGGUCUAUGAUCCCAAUUGUGAAUCCACCGUACUUUUGUCUGGAUUAUCCGAGGAUGAACUUCGGUCUAAUUUACCUAAGGAUGUUGGCAAUGAUUUGUCCUUCUUAGGACCAUGGAUAGAGAAUGAUGUGGCUAAAGGCAUUGCGGAAGGCGUUAUUAAUCCACUUAACAGAAUGCCAUUUGAUUGAGAGAAUGAUGUGGCUAAAGGCAUUGCGGAAGGCGUUAUUAAUCCACUUGACAGAAUGCCAUUUGAUUGAGAGAAUGAUGUGGCUAAAGGCAUUGCGGAAGGCGUUAUUAAUCCACUUGACAGAAUGCCAUUUGAUUGAGAGAAUGAUGUGGCUAAAGGCAUUGCGGAAGGCGUUAUUAAUCCACUUGACAGAAUGCCAUUUGAUUGAGGUUUAUUAUUCUCCGAGGCAAUUUGUUUCUUCUUUGGGCACCAAGAAAGGCGGCCUCAACUGAUGGAGACAGGAUCACACAUGCUGCAUACUGACGUCGACACCAAGAAAGGCGGCCUCAAAAUUAACCCGGAUUUCUUCGUGGACUUCGGCUCCGAGCCUGAUGGCACGUCCCUAGCUCAUGAAAUGAGGCGACUGCACUUGGGACAUAUGGAUUUGAGCAUGCUACGUGUGUUCUAAAAAGGAUCGAGUGCUGCACUCUUAUCAUGUCUGUGCUAAGCCCGCCAUUGGCCUUUACUGAUUGUCGCUAGGACUGAGAGGCUGGGCAUUGUCUCUCUAAAGAACCAUGUUUGUCAUACUUUCAAGAAGAUUCAAAUUUUAUAUUCUCUGCUGAUA